GUGCUCAAAUCAGGAGUGAAGGGACCAUUGAGGGAAGGGGUAAGUUCCGAAAGGUUGAUGUCAAUUAUUUGAUCAUAUUUAGCCCCAGUAUCAGCAGCAAGGUAGUUGUAUUCACUAUGAACCUCCGACGCAGCAUCGGCGACCUCUGCACGGUGUGUGGCAAUUAGAUAGCGACGCAUAGAAUCGGUAUAAGGAAAGAUUGAGGUGGUUGCACCGACUUCAGCGCCCAUAUUACAAACAGUAGCCAUACCAGUGCAAGAGAGGGACGCAACACCAGGGCCAAAGUAUUCAAUAAUAUGACCGGUACCACCACGAACGGUAAGCUUACCAGCCAAAUGAAGUAUAAGGUCUUUUGGAGUAGUCCAGCCAGACAUAGCGCCCGUAAGGUUGACACCGAUGAUUUUGGGAGCUUUUAACUCCCAUGGUGUAUUGGUCAUAGCAUCGACGGCAUCGGCACCACCAACGCCAAUGGCAAUCAUACCCAAACCACCAGCGUUGGGAGUAUGAGAAUCUGUUCCAAGCAUCAUUCCACCAGGAGCGGCAUAGUUUUCUAGCACGAUUUGGUGAAUAAUGCCACUUCCUGGGCCCCAAAACUGUAUGCCGUACUUUUUAGCGGCACUUUGCAAAAAAUCAAAAAUCUCCUUGUUAUUGGCGAUGCUAUCGGGGAUAUCACUGUUGGCACCACGAUGACCAACAAUCAAGUGGUCACAAUGAAUGCUAGCGGGAAUCAUAGUUUUUUCAAGACCACACGUCAUAAACUGAAGCAAGGCCAUUUGAGCAGAGGCAUCCUGCAUGGCUACACGAUCGGGAUUCAGUUUGAGGUACAAGGAGCCACGAAUGUCUGAAGGAGAGACACCACUGAAGCUCUCUUCAGGGUUAACCAAAUGAGAAUAAAGGACCUUUUCCGCCAAAGUGAGCUUUUGACCAGGAAGAAACUUGCGAACUUGUUGGAGUUUCCCCAUCAACUUCUCAUAUGGCGGUGUCACAUAGGAAGCCCUCGAAGCAGUGCUUUGGAAUCGAGCUGCAACCAAACUAAUUCCUUUGGAUGGAAUUGCCUGCGAAGAGCCCGAAAGGCAAAGCUUCAUUCUAGCGAAUGUAGCCAUGUUGUUGCUUUUUUUUUGGUGGAGUGCAAAGGAGGAACGAGGAACGAAUCAAAAAAAGUCUUUUUAACAAAAAACAUUCAUGUUAAAUCACUACAAACAAAUACACAAAACUUACUAAGAAAAAAUUAAAGAAAAUCUUUAAACUUUCCAAAUGUUUGUCGCUAACAAUAUCAUUCAUCAUUAGGUCGAUCUCUCUUUUGUUUAUUAGAUGAAUAGAUGGGAGAACAUCCUUCCAUACCUCUUAGCAAUACGCACGACCUCCUUUUCUUUUCCAAUCUCAGAAUAAUUCCAUCGUUCUCGUUAUCACUGUUUAUUAAGUAAUAACGAUGUCGGUAAAUCU
Schizosaccharomyces pombe (fission yeast) is the source of this 1443-nucleotide non-coding RNA. The record is from the annotation of a GenBank genome assembly. Lineage: Eukaryota; Fungi; Ascomycota; Schizosaccharomycetes; Schizosaccharomycetales; Schizosaccharomycetaceae.